Molecule: non-coding RNA, 4512 nt
Organism: Delphinapterus leucas (beluga whale)
Lineage: Eukaryota; Metazoa; Chordata; Mammalia; Artiodactyla; Monodontidae
Source: RefSeq, a predicted model, not a curated record
GUAUGGAAAACAGCUGCAUUGACGGACGUGGCGUAGAGUUUGCUGCACUGGACUUCUCCUCUGUCUUGGUUUGCAUCCUUCCAGAGUCCAACCCGGAGGAUUUGAGUGCAGGAUUACAGGCUCCGUGGGCACAGCUGGUUGAUCGUCUUCCUGCAGGGGAGGUCCUAAGGAGCAGAGGGUAGACAGGCAAGUAUGCAGAGAGAGAGCCCAGAGCCUGCACCCAGCUUCACCAUUCAGAUAAGUUGCUCUUCCCUGGAGCGUAAUCCAGACUUACAGAAACUGGAAGUGACUGGUCAGCGCUGGUCGGACUGGCCAUUUGAAAUCUAAGGCUUGUGCUCUGGCUUGGAAAAAUGAGCUGGGAGUCUCUCCUGGGGAUUUGACACCUAAAACAAAGGAACUUGUUGGUUAGCUUAGCAGCCAGGGUGGGAGUCCUAUGCAGUCAGGGUUGCAGGGGCCCUUGGAUGCCAUGUGGCCCAAACAAGAAAACCCAGAUUGUGGAGAGAGGGUUGUGAUCAGUUCCUGUGGUCCCUGAAAGGGCUGCUUGGGUCCUGGUGGCUUUCUGUUCCCAGCUCCAGUUUCCUUGGGCUGUGGAUUGAGCCCUCAGAUUUCUGUGUAUGUUUUCAGCCAACCUGUCUUUACUUGAGUAAGCUAGGGUGGGGUUCUCUCCAUGUGACUGAAAGAAGUGAUAAGAGCAGACAAAAUGGAGGUGGAGACUACGUUUUAGAACAUCUCUAACAGGGCUCUCUUCCACUAGGCUACACCAGCUUCCUUACGUGGUGGGUCUCGGGUUCACGAGAGCAAAAAUGGAAACAAAGUCACUGCGUUCACCACAUUCUACUAGUUGAAGUAAGUCAUGAGGCCAACCCAGAUUAAAGGCCCUGGAGACUCUGCCUCUUUUUUGGCGGGGAAGGGACUCCACCUCUUGAUGGCGUUUGCCUGCAAAGAAUUUUUGCCCAUAUUUACCCAUAAAAACUUCAUAGUUUCUAUUCUUGCGUCUGUUUGGGUAAAAUGUAUUUUUCUAAGAAUUUUUCACAUGAUCUGAAUUUUUAAAUUGUCAUCAUUUUGUUCUUAAUAUCCUCAUAUUAUCUUAAGGUCUGUCAAACCUGUAACAAAGGCCCCUUUUUCAUUUCUCUCUUUUCUUCUUUUGGCUGAGCCAUGUGGCUUGUGGGAUCUUAGUUCCCACCUGGGCGCUCGGCAGUGGGGGUGUGGAGUCCUAACCACUGGACCGCCAGGGAAUUCCCCCCUUUUUCAUUUCUGACAUUGGUUAUUUGUGUCCUCUUCCUUUUUUUCUUGAUGAGUCUUGACAGGAGUUUAUCUGUAUUAUUAAUCUUUUCACAGAAUCUGCUUUUGGCUUUGUUGGUGCUCUCUAGUUCAUAUAUUUAUUUUUAAUUUAAAUCUCUUCUUUAUUAUUACCUUCUUUCCUUGGAUUUAAUUUUCUGUUUUCUACCUUUUUGAAUGUUUAGCUCACUGAUUUUCAGCCUUUUCCCUUUACUGAUAUAUGCACUGUUUCCCCAAAGCAUGGCUAUUUUGCUUUUUUCAUUGAUCUCAGAUUAUUUAGACGUUUAAAAUUGUAUUUUAAAAUUUCUAAACAUAUGGGGAUUUUUCUAGUUAUCUUGCCUAAUUGCAAUUGGGUUGAGAACAUAUUUUAUAUGAUUUCAGUCUUUGGAAAUCUGUUUCGACUUUCUGGCUUGGCAUAUGGUCUAUUGUUGUUCAUGUGCCGUAUGUGCUUGAAUGCUUGGCUCGUGACGCAUUAUCGUAGCUUGGAUUCCCCCAGAAACAGACUUUGAGACAAGGGUUUGGGAGAUGAUCCCAGAAAGCACUGGUAGAGCUGUGGGAAGUGAGGCAGGGAAGGGAAGGCAGCACAUCAGAGGUGCAUUUUCAAGCAAGGUAUCACUGUGGGCAACAGCUUCAUUCUCUGGGCAACUCUGGGAAGCAGUGGAAAUAGACUUCCCACUCUCGGGGUGAGGGCAUUUGUACACCCUUCAUUUGGUUGAGGGCUGCUUAAGGGGAUGGGUUUUUUGUUUUCUGUGGGGUCUUUUGUUUCUUUUAGUUUGGCCCGUGGGAUUUUGGGUCCCUGGCCAGGGGUCGAACCCGUGCCCUCUGCAGUGGAAGCGCAGAGUGUUAACCACUGGACCGCCAGGGGAGUCCCAAGGGGAUGGAUUUUUAAUUCGCUGCCACUUCCCGCUUGCCACACACAUCAGGCAGAGUGGGCUCUGGUGGAGAGGGAUCUCUCCAGCAAAGAUCAGCCGCCUCGCCUGCUUCACCCACUGGGUUCACGUCUGUGGCCGCCACCUGUGGCCACAGCGGCCAUCGCUCCCGUCUGUCAUGGCUGCGUCAGCAGCAGCCAGCGUCAUCCUGACACCUUUGCCGCCUGUCACUACUGAUGCCAUCACCUCAUCCCACCAUAGCCACCGUUGGUGGAGGUAUUGAAAUGACAAGAAUGCCUUCAAAAUGCUUGACUGCCUUCGCAAAGAAUGGCUGCAUUCAACCCAGGAGGCCAGUGAGAAGUGGUGGGCGUGAAGGUGGGGGGGAAGCCCUGGGAAGUGUGUGGGGAGGGACGGACAGCAGUGUUGGGGGGACGUGUGUGCACGCUGAAGGGGCUGAGUGAGCGGAUAACGCUCAGGGUUCUGAGGAGGCAGAAUUCCAGUCAAGGCUUCAGAGCCGCAGAGUUCGGCUCGGGCGGCAGAUGGGCUUGGGCGGCUCCUUGGUGGGUGGUGGCAGUGGCCUGGCGGUUCCUCCUGGCCCUGUUAAUGUCGGGGCCAGGCCCGGGGAGGAUGGCGCCCUAGAGCCCAGCCUCGCUGGGGUAGGGGUGGGAGGGGACGUGAUGGGGACCGGCCAUGUCGGAGGUGACCCGAAGUCUGCCGCAGCGCUGGGGUGCCAGCUUUGGGAGAGGCUCCGACUUCGACUCUUGGGGCCAGCUGGUGGAGGCGAUAGAGGAGCAUCAGAUAUUAGCAAGACACCUACAAAAAGAGGCCCAAGCUCAGCACAGCAAUUCUGAAUUCACAGAAGAACAAAAGAAAACUAUAGGCAAAAUGGCGACAUGCUUGGAAUUACGAAGUGCAGCUUUACAGUCCACACGGUCCCAAGAAGAAUUUAAACUGGAGGAUCUGAAGAAGCUAGAACCAAUCCUAAAGAAUAUUCUUACAUAUAAUAAAUUCCCAUUUGAUGUUCAGCCUGUCCCCUUAAGAAGAGUUUUAGCACCUGGUGAAGAAGAGAAUUUGGAAUUUGAAGAAGAGGGUGGUGCUAGAGCAGGGUCUCCUGAUGCCUUUCCUGCUAAGAGUUUCCCGUACUUUAUUACCAAGGUUGCCAUCAGAACCAGGAGUGAUGUUACUCAUUAUCAGAAUUGAGAAAAUUGGCCUGAAAGAUGCUGGGCAAUGCAUUGAUCCCUAUAUCACGGUUAGCGUAAAAGAUCUGAAUGGCAUAGAUUUAAGUCCUGUGCAAGAGACUCCAGUGGCUUCAAGAGAAGAAGAUAUGUAUGUUCAUUUUAAUGUGGACAUGGAGCUCCAGAAGCAUGUUGAAAAAUUAACCAAAGGUGCAGCUAUUUUCUUUGAAUUCAAACACUAUAAGCCUAAAAAAAAGGCUUACCAGCACCAAGUGUUUUGCUUUCAUGGACAAGGAUGAAAUUAAACCUGGGCCAAUUGUAAUAGAACUAUACAAGAAACCCACUGACUUUAAAAGAAAGAAAUUGCAAUUGCUGACCAAGAAACCACUUUGUCUUCAUCUGCAUCAGACUUUGCCCAAGGAAUGAUCGUGACAUGAAUACCCUGGAACUUCUGUGAAUCUUACCACUCAGUAGAAACCAUCCUAGCUCCGUGUAGCCUAUUCGCCCUUCAACAGGCAGGAAGCAAGCCGUACCCAGGCCAGCAGGCCAGAGUGGGUCCAUUACACAGCUGUAGCACAGAAUUCAAAGUCCAGCACGUCACUGAUGUGAAAGGCUCCUCUGGAUACAGGCUUAUUGUAGAUCUUGAAAUGUUUUCACUUUUCUAUUAAUUGUGCAAUGAAUAGCCUCUUUUCUAACGUGCCACUACUCCUGCCCUGCUUCCUGGAACGACACUGUUGUGGGUGGAAUGUGCUCACCUGCGCGCUUAAUACAGCAAUAAGAGUGUGCUAGAGUUUACACACCUGUCCACUUCUGCUCCAAUAUGCUCUUCGGUUUUUCAAGUUAAUGUCAAACUUUGGGUUGAUGUGGAUAGGAUAGUAUGAAACUGCCUUUGAGAGGAAUUGGACCAAUUAUGCUGCCCAAGGUCAGUCUGGAAAUUUAUAGGCUGCUCCUCGGAGACGGCCUUGAUUCACCCUGAUCUCAUGGUUCUCCUGCUUAGAAACAGUGUGUCUUGGCCAAAUCAGCAUCCCAUAUGGGCGUGUUCACAGGUUGUAGCUGUGAUUUUUCCAGAUGACCAGAUCGUUUUUCUGAAAGAGCAUUUUUUUGUUUGUUUGUUUUGUUUUGUUUUGUUUUGCGGUACGCGGGCCUCUCACUGUUGUGGCCUCUCCCGUUGCGGAGCACAGGCUCCGGAU